UAAUAAGUGUUUUAUGGCACUUUUUAAAUCCAUAUCCACCUUGUGUGCAAUGUCAGUCGAUCUUCUUCAUGGAGAUCGACCAAACAUCAACCUUUAUCUUUUAACUCUUUGUCUGAAAAAUAUUAUGAAUAAACAAUUCAAGAUA
RNAcentral lists this unclassified non-coding RNA (145 nucleotides) under soil metagenome. RNAcentral describes it as "partial internal transcribed spacer 1". The record is from RNAcentral.